UAGGGAAUCUUCCGCAAUGGGCGAAAGCUUGACGGAGCAACGCCGCGUGAGUGAUGAAGGUCUUCGGAUCGUAAAACUCUGUUAUUAGGGAAGAACAAAUGUGUAAGUAACUAUGCACGUCUUGACGGUACCUAAUCAGAAAGCCACGGCUAACUACGUGCCAGCAGCCGCGGUAAUACGUAGGUGGCAAGCGUUAUCCGGAAUUAUUGGGCGUAAAGCGCGCGUAGGCGGUUUUUUAAGUCUGAUGUGAAAGCCCACGGCUCAACCGUGGAGGGUCAGUGGAAACUGGAAAACUUGAGUGCAGAAGAGGAAAGUGGAAUUCCAUGUGUAGCAGUGAAAUGCGCAGAGAUAUGGAGGAACACCAGUGGCGAAGGCGACUUUCUGGUCUGUAACUGACGCUGAUGUGCGAAAGCGUGGGGAUCAAACAGG
Molecule: ribosomal RNA, 429 nt
Filed under: Actinomycetes bacterium
Lineage: Bacteria; Bacillati; Actinomycetota; Actinomycetes
Description: Actinobacteria bacterium partial 16S ribosomal RNA
Rfam family: Bacterial small subunit ribosomal RNA
Source: RNAcentral